AACCUCCGCAAUGUGAGAAAUCGCGACGGGGGGAUCCCAAGUGCCAUUCUUAACGGGAUGGCUUUUCAUUGGUGUAAAGAGCUUUUGGAAUAAGAGCUGGGCAAGACCGGUGCCAGCCGCCGCGGUAACACCGGCAGCUCUAGUGGUAACAAUUUUUAUUGGGCCUAAAGCGUCCGUAGCCGGUUUAAUAAGUCUCUGGUGAAAUCCUGUAGCUUAACUGUGGGAAUUGCUGGAGAUACUAUUAGACUUGAGACCGGGAGAGGUUAGAGGUACUCCCAGGGUAGAGGUGAAAUUCUGUAAUCCUGGGAGGACCGCCUGUUGCGAAGGCGUCUAACUGGAACGGUUCUGACGGUGAGGGACGAAAGUUAGGGGCGCGAACCGGACUUAGAUACCCGGGUAGUCCUAACUGUAACGAUGCGGACUUGGUGUUGGGGUGGCUUUGAGCUGCUCCAGUGCCGAAGGGAAGCUGUUAAGUCCGCCGCCUGGGAAGUACGGUCGCAAGACUGAAACUUAAAGGAAUU
Molecule: ribosomal RNA, 521 nt
Filed under: uncultured bacterium
Lineage: Bacteria
Description: bacterial SSU rRNA
Rfam family: Archaeal small subunit ribosomal RNA
Source: RNAcentral